UACGUAGGGUGCAAGCGUUGUCCGGAAUUAUUGGGCGUAAAGAGCUCGUAGGCGGUUUGUUGCGUCGGCUGUGAAAUCCCGAGGCUCAACCUCGGGUCUGCAGUCGAUACGAGCAAACUAGAGUGUUGCAGGGGAGACUGGAAUUCCUGGUGUAGCGGUGAAAUGUGUAGAGAUCGGGAGGAACACCGGUGGCGAAGGCGGGUCUCUGGGCAAUUCCUGACGCUGAGGCGCGAAAGCGUGGGGAGCAAACGGG
This 253-nucleotide ribosomal RNA is filed under the name uncultured bacterium. RNAcentral's name for it is "partial 16S ribosomal RNA". It matches the Rfam family "Bacterial small subunit ribosomal RNA", at positions 524 to 776 of the family's 1533-position model. The record is from RNAcentral.